RNAcentral lists this ribosomal RNA (253 nucleotides) under uncultured bacterium. RNAcentral's name for it is "partial 16S ribosomal RNA". It matches the Rfam family "Bacterial small subunit ribosomal RNA", at positions 524 to 776 of the family's 1533-position model. The record is from RNAcentral.
UACGAAGGGGGCUAGCGUUGCUCGGAAUCACUGGGCGUAAAGGGUGCGUAGGCGGGUCUUUAAGUCAGGGGUGAAAUCCUGGAGCUCAACUCCAGAACUGCCUUUGAUACUGAAGAUCUUGAGUUCGGGAGAGGUGAGUGGAACUGCGAGUGUAGAGGUGAAAUUCGUAGAUAUUCGCAAGAACACCAGUGGCGAAGGCGGCUCACUGGCCCGAUACUGACGCUGAGGCACGAAAGCUAGGGUAGCAAACAGG